RNAcentral lists this ribosomal RNA (421 nucleotides) under uncultured bacterium. RNAcentral's name for it is "bacterial SSU rRNA". It matches the Rfam family "Bacterial small subunit ribosomal RNA", at positions 356 to 774 of the family's 1533-position model. The record is from RNAcentral.
GAGGAAUAUUGGGCAAUGCCCGCAAGGGUGACCCAGCAACGCCGCGUGGAGGAUGAAUGUCGUAAGAUUGUAAACUCCUGUUAGAGGGGAAGAAUAGUACCGGUUGGUCCGGUAUAUGACUGUACCCUCAGAGAAAGCCCCGGCUAACUACGUGCCAGCAGCCGCGGUAAUACGUAGGGGGCAAGCGUUGUCCGGAUUUACUGGGUGUAAAGGGCGCGCAGGCGGGAUAAAAAGUCAGUGGUGAAAUCCUACAGCUUAACUGUAGAACUGCCUUUGAUACUUUUAUUCUUGAGUUCGGGAGAGAGAGACGGAAUUCCAGGUGUAGUGGUGAAAUACGUAGAUAUCUGGAAGAACACCAGUUGCGAAGGCGGUCUCUUGGUCCGACACUGACGCUGAGGCGCGAAAGCGUGGGGAGCAAACA